GACAGAGGGUGCAAACGUUGUUCGGAUUUACUGGGCGUAAAGCGCGUGUAGGCGGCUUGGCAAGUUGGAUGUGAAAGCCCACGGCUCAACCGUGGAAGCGCAUCCAAAACUGCUUCGCUCGAGUCUCGGAGAGGAAGGUGGAAUGCUUGGUGUAGAGGUGAAAUUCUUAGAUAUGACACAGAACACCAAUUGCGAAGGCAGCUCGCUAAACUGUAACUGACGCUGAGGCACGAAAGCGUGGGGAUCAAACGGG
This 253-nucleotide ribosomal RNA is filed under the name uncultured bacterium. RNAcentral describes it as "partial 16S ribosomal RNA". It matches the Rfam family "Bacterial small subunit ribosomal RNA", at positions 524 to 776 of the family's 1533-position model. The record is from RNAcentral.